UACGGGGGGAGCAAGCGUUGUCCGGAUUUAUUGGGCGUAAAGCGCACGUAGGCGGCUUUGUAAGUUAGAGGUGAAAGCCCAGGGCUCAACCCUGGAAUUGCCUUUAAGACUGCAUCGCUAGAAUUGUGGAGAGGUAAGUGGAAUUCCGAGUGUAGAGGUGAAAUUCGUAGAUAUUCGGAAGAACACCAGUGGCGAAGGCGACUUACUGGACACAUAUUGACGCUGAGGUGCGAAAGCGUGGGGAGCAAACAGG
Molecule: ribosomal RNA, 253 nt
Filed under: uncultured bacterium
Lineage: Bacteria
Description: partial 16S ribosomal RNA
Rfam family: Bacterial small subunit ribosomal RNA
Source: RNAcentral